GACGAACGCUGGCGGCGUGCUUAACACAUGCAAGUCGAACGGUAAGGCUCCAGCUUGCUGGGGUACACGAGUGGCGAACGGGUGAGUAACACGUGGGUGACCUGCCCUGCACUUCGGGAUAAGCCUGGGAAACUGGGUCUAAUACCGGAUAGGACCGCACCGUGAGGGUGUGGUGGAAAGUUUUUUCGGUGUGGGAUGGGCCCGCGGCCUAUCAGCUUGUUGGUGGGGUAAUGGCCUACCAAGGCGGCGACGGGUAGCCGGCCUGAGAGGGUGGACGGCCACAUUGGGACUGAGAGACGGCCCAGACUCCUACGGGAGGCAGCAGGGGGGAAUAUUGCACAAUGGGCGGAAGCCUGAUGCAGCGACGCCGCGUGGGGGAUGACGGCCUUCGGGUUGUAAACUCCUUUCACCAUCGACGAAGGGUUUCUGACGGUAGAUGGAGAAGAAGCACCGGCUAACUACGUG
Molecule: ribosomal RNA, 465 nt
Filed under: uncultured bacterium
Lineage: Bacteria
Description: partial 16S ribosomal RNA
Rfam family: Bacterial small subunit ribosomal RNA
Source: RNAcentral